GAGGACUCCUCAAUCUCAGACAUAUUGGCAAGAGAAGCACACUGAAAUAUUGCUCAGAAAUACGUUAGAAAAGCCUAUUGUAUGAAGAGGUAGUGACAAAAAGGUGAGAAAUAGGCGACGAGACCAGCGUGGUUGAGUUCGCCUGAGGCCAGCGAGUCGACGGGAAGAAGCGUGUGAAGGUGCGUGUACUGGAGUCUUUCGCCGACGGUCAGUGGAGAGGCCGAUCCUGUGCUUGAUA
Molecule: unclassified non-coding RNA, 238 nt
Filed under: Hevea brasiliensis (rubber tree)
Lineage: Eukaryota; Viridiplantae; Streptophyta; Magnoliopsida; Malpighiales; Euphorbiaceae
Source: RNAcentral